This 255-nucleotide ribosomal RNA is filed under the name uncultured bacterium. RNAcentral describes it as "partial 16S ribosomal RNA". It matches the Rfam family "Bacterial small subunit ribosomal RNA", at positions 524 to 776 of the family's 1533-position model. The record is from RNAcentral.
UACGUAGGAUCCGAGCGUUAUCCGGAGUGACUGGGCGUAAAGAGUUGCGUAGGUGGUUUAUUAAGUAGGUAGUGAAAUCUGGUGGCUCAACCAUACAGGCUAUUACCUAAACUGGUAAACUCGAGAAUAGCAGAGGUAACUGGAAUUUCUUGUGUAGGAGUGGAAUCCGUAGAUAUAAGAAGGAACACCAAUGGCGUAGGCAGGUUACUGGGCUAUUUCUGACACUAAGGCACGAAAGCGUGGGGAGCGAACGGG